UAAGCUGUGACUUUAGCCCCAGCGUUUCACAGAACAAAGGUCAUUCCCUCCCCAGGAAGCAUCGUGAGGACAACUCUUAAAGAAAAUUAAAACGUUUAUUCAGGUUGCUUUAUUUCUUCAGUACUUGGCACUCAGAAUAACAGAUAAUUUGAACAACAGCUGUAAUCUGCUGAGAUCUACUACGUGCCAGGACCAACGUGAAGGUAGAGCAAGCUCCUGUGACAGGAGGCGGGGCAAUGACGAGUGGCUGAAGGAAUGCAGGGAUUUGUUCCUCUCUAGCUCAAGAGAGAAAGGCUCAGGCCAUACACAGAGAAAGGAGAGCGAUGAAAACCUCCUGAGAAGGUAAGUAGAGAAGAAAUCUGAAGCUCACCUUGGCGGUUGCCUCUGCAGAAAACGGGGAGCAGGUUUCCUGUAAGAGUACUUCACGAAUUUUAGUUUAGUCCAGAGUUACCUAGAAGACUUGUUAAAAUAAAAAUUUUGCCUCUUUUCCCAGAAUUUCUAUUCUUUGGGGCCAGAGUGCAAACUGAGAAUUUGCCUUCCUAAGAAUCCCCGCAUGAUGCUAACGCUAUUGGUCCAAGCACCUCACUUUGCCCUGUAUCAACUGUGUUAGAGCCAUUCUAUAUAAUUUUUGGGAAAAUCAUUUCAGAAUUAAAUUAUGAUUAGUAGCGUCUAAGGCCCAAUGUCUUCUUGCCCACCAGCCAGCUCUGGCAAGCAGAAACAACUCCAUUUUGCCUCUGGUCACAAGUUGAGGCCUCAAUGGUCCCGUGAGGCUGCGACACUCAAGGGCAAGAGAACAUCGGCUCGAGACAGCUUGGUUCUUUGAGAAUUGAGUAGUAAUAAACGUGGGAGAAGGACAGACUCCUGAUUAGCCUGCUGUUUUGUCCCACCUACUGUUGUAAGAUUGCUUUGCCCAUCUCACUCUUCUCAUCGACAUGAGAUCCUCAUCAACGUAGGAUCACUGCCACCCUCGGAGUCCCCCCCCCCGCUCCUUUGGAUUAUUGAGUGCACCCAAUAAAGAGUGGCUAGCUUGGAGUGCCUUUGUCUGGGCCCACUCUGAGGUACUGACCU
This is a long non-coding RNA of Fukomys damarensis (Damara mole-rat), 1068 nucleotides long. RefSeq lists it as uncharacterized. The transcript is spliced from 3 exons. Lineage: Eukaryota; Metazoa; Chordata; Mammalia; Rodentia; Bathyergidae. The record is from RefSeq and is a predicted model, not a curated record.